UCCGACACACAGACGCUGUAUGGUGAAUGGCUUGGCUUGGUAUGGCGAAGAAGGGCGCGGUAAGCUGCGAUAAGCUCCGGGGAGGCGCAAGCAUCCUUCGAUCCGGAGAUUCCCGAAUGGAGUCCAAUCUAAGGGGACUGCCGCAAGGCAUCCCUUUGUUCCGCAAGGAACGCAAACCCUGGGGAAGGAAACAUCUGAGUACCAGGAGGAAGAGAAAUCAACUGAGAUCCCGUCAGUAGGGGCGACCCAACGCGGGAGAGUCCAAACCGAAUCCUGACCCGAAAGGGCUGGGAGAUGUGGGGUUCGCCUUAGCAUAUGCAACCCUGAAUUCGUGCGGUCGAACUUGCCUGGAAAGGCAGACAAUACAAGGUGAUAGUCCUGUAGACUGUUCGAAGACGAGGUUGUGCGAAAGGCAGAGUACCUGGCUUUGGCAGUGGCUAGGGAAGACGGGGGAAAGCAGCCCCCAAGACUAAACACAAACCAAGACCGAUAGAGCACUAGUACCGCGAGGGAAAGCUGAAAAGUACCCCGAAAGGGGUGUGCAAAGAGCCUGAAACCAUCCAGCUACAGACGUUCAGGGCAUGAAAGAGGUAUGAUUCCACCGAUACCACCCGCAAGGGAGGUAAAGGUGGGUUAAGUGCCUCAGUGUCCUGAUUUCCGUCUAGAAACACGGGCCGGGGAGUUAUUUGUCAUGGCGAGCCUAAGGGUUCAAAGCCCGGAGGCGAAGCGAAAGCGAUUCUGCGUAACCCGCAAGGGUGUGGCAGGAGGUCUGAAAGGGCCUUAAAGUCAUGGCGGAUUAGACUAGAAACCGAUUGAUCGUGGCCAGAACAAGUUGAAGCCGGGCGAAAGCCUGGUCGAGGACUGCAAGGGUCUUAACGUGCAAUUUAGUCCCCUGAUUCUGGCCAAGGGGCCAAAAGCCUAUCUAAAUCGGUGAUUGCUAGUUCCCAUCGAAGCGGAUCCCAGUCCUGUCUCCAACGAUAUUGUUGACGUUGUAGAGCACCAACGAGAAAACAAGGAUUCGAAAGGAUCCACUUUCUUCUUGAACUCCGAAUGUGUCAACGUAGUAGACUUGGGGAGGCGGGUUUAUGUGGGGUAAGCCUCAUAACCGAGAGGGGGUUAACCCAGACUAGAGUUAAGGUCCCCAAAUUUUGGCUAAGUGUCAAGCAAAAGGGAGUCUUCGACCUAAAACAGCAGGGAGGUAAGCUUAGAAGCAGCUAUCCUUCAAAGAAAGCGUAACAGCUCACCUGCCGAGGUUGAGGGCCCCGAAAAUGGACGGGGCUAAAGCCAAGUACCGAUACUCUGGACUGCGUCCUUGUGGGACGUAUGUGGUAGAUGGGCGUGGUGAUUGGAUAGAAGCUGGGUCGUGAGAUCCAGUGGACCGAUCUCCAGUGCAGAUCCCGGUAGUAGUAGCAGCGUAGUCGGGUGAGAAUCCUGACCGCCGUAAGGACACGGUUUUCCUGGCAAUGCGUCAUCAGCCAGGAGUUAGCCGAUCCUAAGAUCAAACUCAACAGUAUUGGUCGAAUGAGGGAAUGCGGUUAAUAUUCCGCAGCCUUUAGUAUUCCGAAAGUUCGCAAGAAAACAUCACCUCUGAUGCUUCGAGACCAGCCUUACAGAGUUAUUCGCUCUGUUUAAUCAUCCAAGGGGGAGGGAGUGUCGUAAUGACGAGAACUCCUCCGAGGGGAGAAUAGCGGCCCGUUGGGGUCGUUAGGCCUAUUCCCGGAGACAGUGAAAACAGAGGAGGAUAGGGAUAUUGAAGAUCGUACCUAGAUCCGACACCAGUGAUCCUAGGUGAGAAGCCUAAGGCGUGUCGGGGAACUGUAGGUAAGGGAACUCGGCAAAUUAGCCACGUAAGUUAGCGAUAAGUGGUGCCUGCGUUCUUAGUGUAGAACUGGGAUCGCAGGUUGCAAUAACGAGGGGGUCCCGACUGUUUAAUAAAAACACAGUAAACUGCAAGCCCGAAAGGGUGUGUACAGUUUAUGAAUCCUGGCCAGUGCAGGUACCUAAAACCUGGGUUCAACUGGGCUAAGGGCCUGUAAACGCCGGGAGUAACUCUGACUCUCAGCAAAACAGUUCGAGGAAAAAAGGGAGUCGCUAAAUCUGGCCAUAUGCUGGAACAUCUGAGUAUGCCAGGCUAGUCCCCAACUGGGGACUGACAAAGCCAUGGCUGCAGACAAUCAGCAGGAAAGGCCGGGCGAGUCGCAGGACUUGUCCCGGAAUCCUCAGAGACUGAACGCCAGAGGUCGCAUUCGCUGCGACCAUGUUACAGUCCGAACACUGCAGCGAUGCAGUGAGGCUCAGGUGAAGGAAGGAGAGCCCGCCUUGGUCGCAAGAUCGAGGUCCAAGGAAGCAACAGAUUGCUUAAGGUAGCCAAAUGCCUUGUCGGGUGAGUUCCGACGUGCAUGAAUGGACCAACGAGGGCCCCGCUGUCCCUAUCUACGACCCGGCGAACCUACGUAAGCUGGACGAACAGUCCAGCAACUUCCAUCGGGGAGAGAAGUCCCUGUGGAGCUUUACUGCAGCUUGUUGCUGCGAUUCGGUUGCGGUUGCAGAGUGUAACGGGUAGACUUCGAAGCGUCGGCUCCGGCUGACGUGGAGUCAACAAUGUAACACCCGUCCCUCGCGACUGUAUCGCUAACUCCUACGGGAGGACACCGGCAGGUGGGCAGUUCGGCUGGGGCGGCACCCCCUUGAAAAGAUAUCGAGGGGGCCCAAAGGUCGACUCAACUGGGUCAGAACUCCAGUGUUGACGGCAAGGCGAAAAGUCGGCCUGACAGGGAACUUAAACGCAGAGUUCUCUGCCACGAAAGUGUGGCCUAGCGAUCAUUAGAGUCCCCACUGUUGGGGGCCUGAUGUGACAGAAAAGUUACCCCAGGGGUAACAGGCUCGUCGCGGGCGAGAGCUCCAAUCGACCCCGCGGUUUGGUACCUUAGCGCAUUGUGCGCUCGGGGUAGAACCGCAGUAAUGUCGGUUCGUAGCAUUGGCUUAUAACGGCGAACCCCUCCUCCUCUGAGAACACUGAGGAAAGGGGAGAGGGCAACGCCGUGGGAAGUCUAUGGGUAAAGUAAGCGAGCAAUUGGUUGCCUUAGCGGGCAACUGCAGAAGGAAAAACAGCCAAGAGUUCGCUCCACAAAGGGCACUUCUAUCGGAUGGAAGGACAGACAGGGUGAUUAAUCAUCUUCCGGCAGCGGCAUUCGCUCCGGAGGUGGUGUUAUGCUAUCUUCGGGCGGAUGCUUGCAAAGCGGGCGCAACUAGGCGCUUGCCGUCCUGCCAUAGGGCGGGCCGGUGACGUCCUGGUUGUGGUUUGUCCAUCACAGGUAGAACGAUCUUCCC
RNAcentral lists this ribosomal RNA (3330 nucleotides) under soil metagenome. RNAcentral's name for it is "bacterial LSU rRNA". The stretch from base 1 to 2971 matches the Rfam family "Archaeal large subunit ribosomal RNA". The record is from RNAcentral.